GACGAACGCUGGCGGCGUGCUUAACACAUGCAAGUCGAACGGAAAGGCCCUGCUUUUGUGGGGUGCUCGAGUGGCGAACGGGUGAGUAACACGUGAGUAACCUGCCCUUGACUUUGGGAUAACUUCAGGAAACUGGGGCUAAUACCGGAUAGGAGCUCCUGCUGCAUGGUGGGGGUUGGAAAGUUUCGGCGGUUGGGGAUGGACUCGCGGCUUAUCAGCUUGUUGGUGGGGUAGUGGCUUACCAAGGCUUUGACGGGUAGCCGGCCUGAGAGGGUGACCGGACACGUGAGGACAGAUGUACGGGCCCGCGUGCGGCGGUGGGGAGGAGGGGGGGGUUGUGCAGGAGGGCUGGCUGCGUGAGGGGGGAACGCGGGUGGCGGCGUGACGGCCUGCGGGCUGAUGGUCGGGUUCGGCCGGGCAGAUGGGGGGGGGAGGGUAAUGGGGAAAGAAGCACGGGCUAACCACGCGCAGGCGGCGGCGGUAAAGAGAGAAGCGGCCCCGCUUGUCC
Molecule: ribosomal RNA, 508 nt
Filed under: uncultured bacterium
Lineage: Bacteria
Description: partial 16S ribosomal RNA
Rfam family: Bacterial small subunit ribosomal RNA (bases 20-332)
Source: RNAcentral